AUGGGGGAGAGGAGAAACGGCAGCCCCCUCACCCAGGGCAACUCUCUGUCAGGUGCCCUGCUGCUGAGCACCUGCCUAUGUGAGGUCCGAGUCACGCAGACAGGGUUGGAACUGGAAUCUGCUGGCCCGGGCCUGGCCCAGCGUUCCCUGCAGCCCCUCAAUGCGCCUCCUCCCCUGCUCCCUGGGAACCUACCUGACCAGGAGGUGGAGCGGCGGCUGAGGCUGAGCCCAUGCAAGCAGCGCUCCAGGGCGUGCUGGAUGCGGUCCUCCGUGCAUGUCGUGGCCCCUUGCUGCAUCCUGAGUCAUCGCCUGCGUGGGGGACAGACGCUGGUCAGUCUGGAGACCCUCAGGCUCAAGAAGCACAUGGCCAAGCAGGGCAGCCAGUGGAGAGAGAGGGCACUCCCAGCCCUGUGCCGUCAGUCGGCUGGGGGCGGGGCAGCCCCUGGCAGUGCUGCUCAGAGAGGCAAGACAGGGCACUCAGGCCACCUGACAGCACAGGCUAGGGAAGUGAGGGGUCGGGGGAGGAGGGGAGUGGAGAGAUGGGGGCCAGGUACCCACUGGCCUCCAAGCCCUGGAGGGACCUCCUCUCGCCCUCUGUCUCUGGACAGUCGAAGCAUUUUCCUCUUGCAGACAAAACAAACGGGGGCUGACGGGCGGAGGCCCCAGGGACUGGCUGGGUGGCCCUUCCGUCAACCUCAGCAUUUGUUUCUCCAGGGGACAGGCCGUGGAAGCUUCUCGGAGGCCCGGAAAGCCGCCUGUGGAUCUCAUCAUCUUAUUUGGUUAACCGAACGCCGUGGCCUCUUGGUGCUGGCGAGGGCUCUGUUGUUCUUGGAAACGAGGCUGCGAGCCUCUCAGACCCUUGUCCGCACGGGCUGGUGCGGUGGGCAGGGCCCCCUGGGGUCAGGAACAUCCCUGAAUUGUGACUCUGGCCCUCCCUCCCACGCCCGCCCCCCACCCCAGCUGCCCGCCCACCGACUAGCUGUGUGGCCCGCGCACGCGGGCCCACGUUUGCUCCACAAGGAACAGCUGGAUGGUCUCUGGCAUCUCUGCUGGCUCUUUGCUUCUUCUGUGAACCGUUGAUUGCAGGAGGCCCUAGAUGGUGGGGGUUUGCUCCUCCCCCUCCCCCUCCCCUGCCUCCUUUCUCUAUCUCAUCUCUCUGACUUCCCCCGACUUUAUUUCCAAAGCUGAAACCCCAGGCUCUUCUGUGGAGGCGAGAUCGAGGAUGCCUGCCUCAGCUCAAAACCCAGGGCCAGAAAACCCUCCCAUCCAUCACACUCAUGUCACUAUGGAAGGUCCCCGAAGGUCAGCUUCCAGUCGUCCCUCAGGACAGUCUUAUUUGUAUUGCCUGGGGGGUCUGGCCUUUCACAGAAUACGUGAAAAAAUACCUCUUGUCCUCCCCAGGAAAGUUGAUAAUAAAUGUAUUCUUUUGAAGCUAGACAAGCAGUUGUAGGUGGGAAACAUUCCAGUAUGUUAAGAUACAAGUAUGGGAUAUAAGUAUUUUUAAAUGUUGAGUACACCCUGUUGAUCGUAUUUCUUCUUGAGGGAGGAUAUCUUGUCUGCUUUUGGGUGGAAGGGUUUGUGGCCCGAAGUACACGGGGUGGCUUUUGAUAUGAAAAUGUGUAUUGUGACUCCCUAAAUGAGGUGAGGCACAGCGGCUGGGGUGGCUCCGCAGAGGAGGGGCCUUGGACCAGCCCAGCCAGGAGCCACUCUGGAGAAGCUGCGAGGCGUGAAAGGGUGCUUUUAGGAAAGUCUGGGUCAGACAUGAUGUUAUAGGAAAAACUGCAGCGUCUGAGGAAACAGCGCGUGAAUCGAGAGGAAGCCAGGGGACAACGCAGGGAGGAUGUGAAGCAGACUGUUAGUGGGAGCCGAAGAGAGGGGCUGCCUGGCCGAAGGGGCUGGGCGGCUGCCUGGAGGGGAAACAGGAAGGGAUGCCCUGCUCCCGGAGGGAAGGCUGGGCAUGGGGUGGAGUGGUUACGGAACGGCUGGUGAUGCCAGGAGUUCGGCUGCACUAUUCCGGAGCAUGAGGACAGGCAGAGCCUCAGACAGGGCCGCUGGCCCUCGGUCUGUGCCCAGAGGAGUGACUGUCGGCUCGGGAAGCCUCCCUGUGGGGGGCUUGUUGUCCAUCCGCCCAGACGCCCAAAACUUUGGGGUGGGUGAGGAAUAGGGUCCACAGAAAGGAAAAGGAAUCUGGCCCAGCACCGCCUUUGGAAAGGACGGAGAGAGGUAAACUCUGCCUCCCUUUGUCCCCUCCCAUGUUGCCCGUGAAGGGGGACAGGUAUCCCAUCUUGGGCUCCAAGCAGCUUCCAGUGUGUCUAAGAACAGAGACCAUGGGUCACACCUCUGGCUCCAAAUCCUGUCCCUGCCACUUGCCAAGUGACCUGGGGUGGGGUGGGGGAGGGCAGGUUCAUCUUCGUGCCUCAGUUUCCUCACCUGUGAAAAAAGUGAAAGUGUUAGUUGCUCAGUCGUGUCCGAUUCUUUGUGACCUCAUGGACUAUAUCCCACCAGGCUCCUCUGUCCAUGGGAUUCUCCAGGCAAGAAUACUGGAGUAGUAGCCAUUCCCUUCUGCAGGAGAUCUUCCCAACCCAGGGAUCAAACUCAGGUCUCCUGCAUUGGUAGAUGGAUUCUUCACUGUCUGAGCCACCAAAGAAACCCUCCUCACCUGUAGAAGAGUGUUAAUAUUAGUGCCCCCUUCAAAGGGAUGUGAGGUUUAAGUUUAUUCUUUUUUGAAAACAGCUUUCCGGAGGCAUGGUUCACGUACCAUAAACACAGCCACUUGAAGGAUGUAUUAACAGUUGGAUGUAUAGUAUAUUAACAGUUCUAGUAUAUUCAGAAUUGUGCAGCCAUCGCCACAGUGGUGACUUUUGUCACCCUCCUCCCCCUAAAAAAUACCGUAUUCACCAGCUGUCACUCCUCAUUUUCUCCUAACCCCCUCUUUUCCCAGCCCUAGGAAACCACCAGUCUACUUCCCUAUUCCGGACAGAUUUCAUAUGCAUGGAAUUGUAUACGCUGUGGUCUCUUGUAACUGGCCUCUUUCAUUUCGCAUCCUGAUUUCCAGGUUCAUCUGUGUAGUAGUGUGUAUUAGAGCUUCAUUCCUUCUUAUGGCCAGGUAAAAUUCCGUUGUAUGGACACACCCUAUUCUAUUUAUUCAGUCGUCAGUCAGUGGGCGUUUGCAUUGUUCGUGCUUCUUGGCUGUUGUGAAUAAUGCAGCUGUGACCAUUGGUGUAUAGGUUUUCGUGUGGAUGUGUGUUUUCAUUUCUCUGGGGUAUAUACCCAGGAGUGGAAUUGCUGGGUCACAUGAUAACUCUCUGUGUAACUGUUGGAAGAACUGCCAGAUUGUUUUUCAACGUGGCUGCACUGGGAGGAAUGUGUGAGGCUUCCACUUUCUCCUUACCCUUGCCAGCACUUGUUAAUAUUUGUCUCAUCUGGGUGGGUAUGCAGUGGGUGGGUAUCUCAUUAUGGCUUUGCUUGGCAUUUCCCUGAUGGCCAGUGAUGUUAAGCCUGCUCUCAUGGGCUUGUUGGUCAUUUGUACAUUUUCUUUGGAGAAGUGUCUGUUCAGAUUCUUUACCAUUUUAAUUGGUUACGUUAGUUCUUAGAUGUGCUUGAGAGGAAUGCCUUCCCCAUGAGAAGCUUAUGAGUCACCGUCAGGGAGAGACCCCUGGAUUUGGUAUGCCAGACUCCUACCUGUGUGCAGGAUUCAGGGAUGGAGGUGGGACUGGUGAUGCUGCAUAAAUUACCAGGCAUGCAGGAGUGGGUACCUUUCUAUUUUCUUCAAAUAUACCCCCGACUCGGGGAGAGGCUGGAAUGUUUACAACCCACCACAGGCCAAACGCCCACCUGCACCUUUCCAAUUUGGUUUUUCUGCCUCCCUCUGGCUGGGCUGUCCAUACCUGCUGCCUGUGGCCGUGAAUUCCUUGCUGCUCAGGUUUUGGAUUCUGUUCAUCCUCAAGCCCCCCAAGAGGCUGCUGGUGGGGGUGUCAGCAGCGAUGGGAACCCCAUCAAGAUGCCCCGGGUCCUGUCCCACCCCCGCCUCCAUCACACCCCGUUAUCCUUCUACCGUUUUUGUGCCAGCUGCCACUUGCUCAGGUGGCUCAUAGGCUGUGUGUAUGCUUUCCUUUUCCUUUUCUUCUUGCCUAAAAAUACUCAGGUUUUUCCAAGAGUUGAGCAGUGCUUGCAGAGGAUUGAAUUCAGGUUUGGUUUGACCUCAGCACUUCCACGGAGAAGGCAAUGGCAACCCACUCCAGUACUCUUGCCUGGAAAAUCCCAUGGACAGAAGAGCCUGGAAGACUGCAGUCCGUGGGGUUGCUGAGGGUCGGACAUGACUGAGCGACUUCACUUUGACUUUUCACUUUCAUGCUUUGGAGAAGGAAAUGGCAACCCACUCCAGUGUUCUUGUCUGGAGAAUCCCAGGGACGGGGGAGCCUGGUGGGCUGCCGUCUAUGGGGUCGCACAGAGUCGGACACAACUGAAG
RNAcentral lists this long non-coding RNA (4468 nucleotides) under Ovis aries (sheep). Its description in RNAcentral is "lncRNA (ENSOARG00000026362.1)". Lineage: Eukaryota; Metazoa; Chordata; Mammalia; Artiodactyla; Bovidae. The record is from RNAcentral.